This 206-nucleotide ribosomal RNA is filed under the name uncultured bacterium. Its description in RNAcentral is "partial 16S ribosomal RNA". It matches the Rfam family "Bacterial small subunit ribosomal RNA", at positions 30 to 260 of the family's 1533-position model. The record is from RNAcentral.
AUUGAACGCUGGCGGCAUGGCUAAAGCAUGCAAGUCGAACGGACCCGCAAGGGUCAGUGGCGAAAGGGUCAGUAAUACGAUCGAACGUACCCUGAGGUGUGGGAUAGCCGCGGGAAACUGCGGGUAAUACCACAUGUGCUCUACGGAGGAAGGCCGCAAGGCGCCUCGGGAGCGGCGAUCGUCCUAUCAGGUAGUUGGCGGGGUAA